RNAcentral lists this ribosomal RNA (253 nucleotides) under uncultured bacterium. RNAcentral's name for it is "partial 16S ribosomal RNA". It matches the Rfam family "Bacterial small subunit ribosomal RNA", at positions 524 to 776 of the family's 1533-position model. The record is from RNAcentral.
UACGUAGGGGGCUAGCGUUGUCCGGAAUCAUUGGGCGUAAAGAGCGUGUAGGCGGUCCGGUAAGUCCGCUGUGAAAGUCCAGGGCCCAACCCUGGGAUGCCGGUGGAAACUGUCGGGCUAGAGUCCGGAAGAGGCGAGUGGAAUUCCUGGUGUAGCGGUGAAAUGCGCAGAUAUCAGGAGGAACACCAAUGGCGAAGGCAGCUCGCUGGGACGGUACUGACGCUGAGACGCGAAAGCGUGGGGAGCAAACAGG